GGGAUUGCCUUAGUAACGGCGAGUGAAGCGGCAAAAGCUCAAAUUUGAAAUCUGGCACCUUCGGUGUCCGAGUUGUAAUUUGAAGAAGGUAACUUUGGGAUUGGCUCUUGUCUAAGUUCCUUGGAACAGGACGUCACAGAGGGUGAGAAUCCCGUGCGAUGAGAUGACCAAUCCUAUGUAAAGUGCUUUCGAAGAGUCGAGUUGUUUGGGAAUGCAGCUCUAAGUGGGUGGUAAAUUCCAUCUAAAGCUAAAUAUUGGCGAGAGACCGAUAGCGAACAAGUACAGUGAUGGAAAGAUGAAAAGAACUUUGAAAAGAGAGUGAAAAAGUACGUGAAAUUGUUGAAAGGGAAGGGCUUGAGAUCAGACUUGGUAUUUUGCAUUCCUUACCUUCGUGGUGGGGUUCCUUGCAGUUUACUGGGCCAGCAUCGGUUUGGAUGGUGGGAUAAUGACAUUGGAAUGUGGCUCUGCUUCGGUAGAGUGUUAUAGCCAGUGUUGAUACCGCCUGUCUAGACCGAGGACUGCGUCUUUGACUAGGAUGCUGGCAUAA
This 547-nucleotide ribosomal RNA is filed under the name Schwanniomyces occidentalis var. occidentalis. RNAcentral's name for it is "LSU rRNA". It matches the Rfam family "Eukaryotic large subunit ribosomal RNA", at positions 71 to 634 of the family's 3401-position model. The record is from RNAcentral. Lineage: Eukaryota; Fungi; Ascomycota; Pichiomycetes; Serinales; Debaryomycetaceae.